AUGUUUGCGCUCAAACUGGACUUCCAAAAGGCGUUUGAUAGCGUGAGUUGGGAUGCCCUCCGGAAGGUUAUGGUUGCUAGAGGAUUCGGGCCCAGGUGGAUAACAUGGAUCAGUGACAUGCUUACUUCCAGCUCCUCCCGCAUUCUCAUCAACGGCAGGCUAGGGCCGAAGAUCACCUCCAAGAGUGGCUUGAGGCAAGGAGAUGCCCUUUCCCCCUACCUUUUCCUCCUGGUAGCUGACGUUUUACAACAGUUGUGCAACCUGGAGUUCAGAAGGGGGAAUCUAUGCCACCCUCUUGGGGCUAAUGAGCACCCCCCCUAUCCUACAAUACGCCGAUGA
Molecule: ribosomal RNA, 339 nt
Filed under: Triticum aestivum (bread wheat)
Lineage: Eukaryota; Viridiplantae; Streptophyta; Magnoliopsida; Poales; Poaceae
Description: partial small subunit ribosomal RNA
Source: RNAcentral